This 272-nucleotide long non-coding RNA is filed under the name Homo sapiens (human). Its description in RNAcentral is "LHRI_LNC800.1". Lineage: Eukaryota; Metazoa; Chordata; Mammalia; Primates; Hominidae. The record is from RNAcentral.
AGAUGUUUGGUCAAACAUCAGUCUAGAUGGUGGUUUUUAGAUGUGACUAACAUUUAAAUCAGUAGGCUUUGAGUAAAGCAGAUUACCCUCUAUAAUAUGGAUGGGCCUUAGCCAAUCAGUUAAAGGCCUUAAGAGAGAAAAGACUGACGUCCCCUGAAGAAGAAAGAACUGUCUCCAGACUGCCUUGGGACUUGAGCUGCAACAACUCUUCCCUGGGCCUGCAGCCUGCUGGCCUGCCCUGCAGAAUUUGGACUUGCCAGCCACCAGCCCAC